AAGUCGUAACAAGGUUUCCGUAGGUGAACCUGCGGAAGGAUCAUUAAUUGAGUUAGGGGUUCUCCCGGGGCCCCGGACCCUCCCAACCCCUUUUCGUUUCAAAACCCAAUUUGUUGCUUUGGCGUGGCCGCCCCGCGGGGCGCCCGGUCUUAGGCCCGGCAUGCGCCCCGCCAGAGGAAAAUCCAAACCUCUUGUUUACCAAAGCCCGUACGUCUGAGUAAACUGAUUAAAUUCAAUCAAAA
RNAcentral lists this unclassified non-coding RNA (242 nucleotides) under plant metagenome. RNAcentral's name for it is "partial contains small subunit ribosomal RNA and internal transcribed spacer 1". The stretch from base 1 to 46 matches the Rfam family "Eukaryotic small subunit ribosomal RNA", at positions 1786 to 1831 of the family's 1831-position model. The record is from RNAcentral.